AGGACGAACGCUGGCGGCGUGCUUAACACAUGCAAGUCGAGCGAGGCUCUCUCCUUCGGGAGGGAUGCCCUAGCGGCGAACGGGUGAGUAACACGUGGGCAACCUGCCCCUAGCACUGGGAUAACUCCGGGAAACCGGGGCUAAUACCGGAUACGACCUCUGAGGGCAUCCUCCGGAGGUGGAAAGCAUUGUGGCUAGGGGAUGGGCCCGCGGCCUAUCAGCUUGUUGGUGAGGUAACGGCCCACCAAGGCGACGACGGGUAGCCGGCCUGAGAGGGCGACCGGCCACACUGGGACUGAGACACGGCCCAGACUCCUACGGGAGGCAGCAGUGGGGAAUAUUGCACAAUGGGCGAAAGCCUGAUGCAGCGACGCCGCGUGAGGGAUGACUGCCUUCGGGUUGUAAACCUCUUUCAGCAGGGACGAAGCGAAAGUGACGGUACCUGCAGAAGAAGCACCGGCCAACUACGCGCCAGCAGCCGCGGU
RNAcentral lists this ribosomal RNA (485 nucleotides) under uncultured bacterium. RNAcentral's name for it is "SSU rRNA". It matches the Rfam family "Bacterial small subunit ribosomal RNA", at positions 26 to 521 of the family's 1533-position model. The record is from RNAcentral.